This is a long non-coding RNA of Lotus japonicus, 1729 nucleotides long. RefSeq lists it as uncharacterized. The transcript has 5 exons. NCBI's taxonomy places the organism in Eukaryota, Viridiplantae, Streptophyta, Magnoliopsida, Fabales, Fabaceae. The record is from RefSeq and is a predicted model, not a curated record.
GAAUAGAGAGUGAGCGACAGAGAGAGAGAGAGAGAGAGAGAGAGAAAAUGGGAGAGAGAAGCAGAAGCGAGUUUGCAAGCUUGCACAAUGCCCAUGAACUUGUUAAGUUCAGCUUCCCUAAGCCAACCAAUGGCACUGAUCUCUGCCUCAACAUGAGACUAAUUGAUGAAACCCACAUCAAAUGUGGCAUGAAUGUUUACAAUUUUACUAGAAUAUCUCCCUGAUGUUGCUGCUGCUGGAGAUUUAAUUAAGCUUACUCAAGUUAAGGCUAGAAGAUGAACUUUAUUCUCCACUUCCUCUACAACAGGAACUUUUGCCUUUGCCAAGAGAGUUAUUAUGUACUUUUCCUAAUGUUGGAACCAUCUUGAGGAUAACUAACCAUGUCAUAGUCCUGCAUCUACUUGGAAACGUAUUUCGACAAACUUGACCCAUUUCCCAAUGUUCAGGACAUGGAGCUGAGUUUCAACAUUAGUAAAUGGGUCAAGUUUGUCAAUAUGUGUUUUUUAAAGACACUUUCAUCGUCGAACAACAAAGGUAGUUGCUAAUUUGAUGGAUCUGUAUGGUUUGGAUAUAUUAUGUCAUUGAACUGAAACUUUUGCAUAUGCUUUCUAUUUAUGUUACUUGAAUAUGAUAAAGAUAAUAUUUGAUAUGUAAUUCAUUGAUAAACUUGUACAGUAUAUAUAGAUGUAAAAAGAUAUCAAAAUUAUAUCUAUCUAAAUCAAAAGAUACUAAUCUAUAAUAGAAAACUAUAUUUGAACCAUAUCUCUAUUUCUAAACUAUAUCUUAAUACUAAUAUUCAACAAUGUUGAGCCAAGCUGUAUGAAGAUCAGUUGUACAUAGGUAGAAUGCCUUCAUCAUGCAGCUUGCCUAAUUCUCCACGCAUUACAGGUAUUUCAUUUGUGUUGCACUACGAAUCAAGUCUUUGAUUUUUAUCAGUUUUGAUUCACUAGUUUUGGUUUUUCUUAUUGGAUGCCAAAUAUACUUUAUCCAACAGAGGUUAAUCACGAAAGUGUGAGGCAUGCAACUUUAAUGGGUAUUCUCACACAUUCAAAGGUGACAGCAAAAUACAAGUGCAUGGGUUGAGUGGUAGCAGCUAUGCCAUGCCAAGCUGAAAUGCUCCGCUCUCCUGACAGGAUAUACAGACUGCAACUGACCCUAGGGGAUCCAACAGCUAGGAUUCAUGUAUACGUAUAUUGUGAGAAUGGGGAGACUGUUUUUGGUUGUUAUCCGAGCGUGGAUGUGUUGACGAGGAAGCUGAAUAGGUUACUUGGAGUUAGUAUCAUCACCUUCAGUUACUCCAAGUAAUCUAUUGGAGGAUCACCUUCAGUUACUCCAAGUAAUCUAUUGGAGGAUGUUUAGAAUGUUUAGGAAAUUUUCGCCAAAAUAGCAGAAGCCUGAAGUAUUGCAAGUUAGACAUCACUUUCUCUAGAUUACUUGGAGUAGCCGAAGGUGAUGAUACUAUGGGAGUAUUAUCACCUUCAGCUAGUCCAAGUAAUCUAUUGGAGGAUGUUUAGAAUGUCUAGGAUAUUUGAUGCCAAAAUAGCAGAAGCCUCAAGUAUUGCAAGUUAGACAUCACUUUCUCUUAAUUGAAAGACUUCAUAUACUUUCAGCCAAGGAUACAUAUGGAAACCAUUUUUGGCUUAUUUCCAUAUGGUAUUGAAUGUAGGUGAUGGGUUCUGAAGUUGUUAACUAUGUGAAUGAAUGAAUGUUCGAGUAAUUUUUCUGAUUA